This 629-nucleotide long non-coding RNA is filed under the name Cricetulus griseus (Chinese hamster). Its description in RNAcentral is "lncRNA (ENSCGRG00000025595.1)". Lineage: Eukaryota; Metazoa; Chordata; Mammalia; Rodentia; Cricetidae. The record is from RNAcentral.
CCAAAAGGGAAAAAAUCUCUUGAGAAACAGAGGAAAAGAACAGUUAGGCAAGGUACUUCGGGUAAUUUGUGCCAAGUAUAUAAAUGCCAUGCUAACCUCCAUUUGCACAGACAAUGGCAUUCAUGGAUCCCUUCCUCAAUCCUUGGUACUGGAGAAACAAUUAGCCCUCACCAGGCACAACCUAUUCAUACUGUGCAUUUCCCUCUUGAAGUGAGCGACCCAAGAAUAGGCCCUUGCCUGAUGUCUUUGUGGAGGCCAUCUCACUUCUGGAACAAAGCUUGGCACCUACUAUUUGCAGAACAAGGCCAUACUGUCUGGAUGAGGCUCCACACCCUGCCACAGGGUCAGAGAAGCUCACUCUAAAUUCACUCUGAUUCAGAGACAGCUGAGCCAAUUCUUCAGGAGAGAAAGAAAAAAAAUUCUAUCCCUCUGGUGAGAAGGGUGUCUGAGCGAACCCAUAAUAUUCUGGCAAUGGAAGUAGGGGUGUGAAGCUUGGGACUUUUGGGAGCACUUACUACUAGGAAAGAAGCAACACAAAAAUUUAUCCAGCCCAGAGUUGGCUGCAAAGGAAGCUGUGAGGCUGUCCUGGCCUGAGCUAUGUGCCACCUUACUCCCUGGGAUUGCUGACA